CGCGGCCUAUCAGCUUGUUGGUGGGGUGAUGGCCUACCAAGGCGACGACGGGUAGCCGGCCUGAGAGGGCGACCGGCCACACUGGGACUGAGACACGGCCCAGACUCCUACGGGAGGCAGCAGUGGGGAAUAUCGCACAAUGGGCGGAAGCCUGAUGCAGCGACGCCGCGUGAGGGAUGACGGCCUUCGGGUUGUAAACCUCUUUCACCCAUGACGAAGCGAGAGUGGCGGUAGUGGGAGAAGAAGCGCCGGCCAACUACGUGCCAGCAGCCGCGGUAAGACGUAGGGCGCGAGCGUUGUCCGGAAUUAUUGGGCGUAAAGAGCUCGUAGGCGGCUUGUCGCGUCGGCUGUGAAAUCCCGUGGCUCAACUGCGGGUCUGCAGCCGAUACGGGCAGGCUAGAGUUCGGUAGGGGAGACUGGAAUUCCUGGUGUAGCGGUGAAAUGCGCAGAUAUCAGGAGGAACACCGAUGGCGAAGGCAGGUCUCUGGGCCGAUACUGACGCUGAGGAGCGAAAGCGUGGGGAGCGAACAGGAUUAGAUACCCUGGUAGUCCACGCUGUAAACGUUGGGCGCCAGGUGUGGGGGACCUCUCCGGUUCUCUGUGCCGCAGCUAACGCAUUAAGCGCCCCGCCUGGGGAGUACG
This 642-nucleotide ribosomal RNA is filed under the name uncultured bacterium. RNAcentral's name for it is "bacterial SSU rRNA". It matches the Rfam family "Bacterial small subunit ribosomal RNA", at positions 232 to 884 of the family's 1533-position model. The record is from RNAcentral.